RNAcentral lists this unclassified non-coding RNA (1571 nucleotides) under Cotesia glomerata. RNAcentral's name for it is "fructose-bisphosphate aldolase, transcript variant X1". The record is from RNAcentral. Lineage: Eukaryota; Metazoa; Arthropoda; Insecta; Hymenoptera; Braconidae.
UACGUGACCGCGCCGGCGCAAGUUUCAAGUCUAGGGGAGAUUUUAUAAUUUCAUCAAUUGUCAGGUCAGUCGUUCAAUUCCUCGAGUCUGGACUAGAUCGAUACAGAGUUAUUUAAAUUUCAAUUAAUUAUCCAAUUUAACUAUCUAUAAUGCCAGCUGAAAAGUACGCAGCAGCAGACCCGGAAUUGAAAGCCGAGCUUAAACAGAUAGCUGAGGCGAUCGUUGCUCCUGGAAAGGGUAUUUUAGCCGCUGAUGAAUCUACGACCACUAUUGGUAAACGUUUGCAGGACAUAAACGUCGAGAAUAAUGAAGACAAUCGUCGGGCUUAUCGUCAAUUGUUGUUCACCACUGAAAAGGACGUUAUCAAGAACCACAUAUCUGGUGUGAUUCUUUUCCACGAGACUCUGUACCAAAAAGCCGAAGAUGGAACUCCAUUCGUGACCCUGAUGAAAGAGCGCAACAUCAUCCCUGGAAUAAAAGUAGACAAGGGUGUGGUCCCACUGUUCGGAACCGACGACGAGUGCACAACCCAGGGUCUCGACGACCUCCAGGCUCGUUGCAUCCAAUACAAGAAAGACGGCUGCCACUUUGCCAAAUGGCGUUGCGUGCUUAAGAUCAAGGGCAACACCUGUCCAAGCCGGCUAGCAAUUUUGGAGAACGCGAACGUGUUGGCCCGCUACGCGUCCAUCUGCCAGAGCGCACGUAUUGUCCCGAUCGUCGAACCAGAAAUUUUGCCUGACGGUGACCACGAUUUGGCCCGUUGUCAGCAAGUAACUGAGGAAGUCCUCGCGGCCGUCUACAAGGCCCUCAACGACCACCAUGUCUACUUGGAGGGUACUCUUCUGAAGCCCAACAUGGUUACUCCUGGACAGAGCUGUCCUAAACGUGCUACUCCCCAGGAAAUCGCCUCAGCUACUGUGAUCGCUCUUCAGCGCACUGUUCCCCCAGCAGUUACUGGAAUCACUUUCUUGAGCGGUGGACAGUCUGAAGAGGAAGCUUCAGUGAAUCUCGACGCUAUCAACAAGUACCCGGGAAAGAAACCAUGGGCUCUGACAUUCAGUUACGGCAGAGCUCUUCAAGCUUCUGUUUUGAGAGCUUGGGGUGGCAAGAAGGAACAAAUUGCCGCUGGACAGGAAGAACUUAUCAAACGUGCCAAGGCGAAUUCAUUAGCUUGCCAAGGAAAAUAUCAAGCUGGUAGCAUAGUCAGUAAAGCUGCUACUGUUGAUUUACAUGUCAAAUCACACACUUACUAAUUGCUAUUGCCUCAACUCCACUAUACUUUUAUGUCCUAUCACUCUGUCCUAUUGUAUACUGUUUUUACCUUUCUAUAUAGUUUUUAUCUGUCUUUCUUAUAUUUUUGUACGACACAAUAUUUUAUCUAUGCAAAUAGUGAAGCUUCUCUUGGAAAAUACGCCGGUGGUGUCAGUGGAGCUGCUGGUGACGCUGCAUUAUUUGUCGCUAAUCACGCAUACUAAUUAAUUUAUCAAUUAAAUCAACAAUUAAAUUUAUCGAUAAUUGUUAAUCUUCAUGAUAUUAUCACAAAUAAAAGUAUAAAGUUAUUGACGUGAAAA